Molecule: ribosomal RNA, 256 nt
Filed under: uncultured bacterium
Lineage: Bacteria
Description: partial 16S ribosomal RNA
Rfam family: Bacterial small subunit ribosomal RNA
Source: RNAcentral
UACGAAGGGGGCUAGCGUUGCUCGGAAUUACUGGGCGUAAAGCGCACGUAGGCGGAUCUUUAAGUCAGGGGUGAAAUCCUGGAGCUCAACUCCAGAACUGCCUUUGAUACUGAGGACCUUGAGUUCGGGAGAGGUGAGUGGAACUGCGAGUGUAGAGGUGAAAUUCGUAGAUAUUCGCAAGAACACCAGUGGCGAAGGCGGCUCACUGGCCCGAUACUGACGCUGAGGUGCGAAAGCGUGGGGAGCAAACAGGGAU